This 400-nucleotide ribosomal RNA is filed under the name Rhizobium leguminosarum. RNAcentral's name for it is "bacterial SSU rRNA". It matches the Rfam family "Bacterial small subunit ribosomal RNA", at positions 23 to 452 of the family's 1533-position model. Lineage: Bacteria; Pseudomonadati; Pseudomonadota; Alphaproteobacteria; Hyphomicrobiales; Rhizobiaceae. The record is from RNAcentral.
CUCAGAACGAACGCUGGCGGCAGGCUUAACACAUGCAAGUCGAGCGCCCCGCAAGGGGAGCGGCAGACGGGUGAGUAACGCGUGGGAAUCUACCCUUGACUACGGAAUAACGCAGGGAAACUUGUGCUAAUACCGUAUGUGUCCUUCGGGAGAAAGAUUUAUCGGUCAAGGAUGAGCCCGCGUUGGAUUAGCUAGUUGGUGGGGUAAAGGCCUACCAAGGCGACGAUCCAUAGCUGGUCUGAGAGGAUGAUCAGCCACWUUGGGACUGAGACACGGCCCAAACUCCUACGGGAGGCAGCKAGUGGGGAAUAUUGGACWAUGGGCGCWAGCYUGAUCCWGCCWUGCCGCGUGAGUGAUGAAGGCCCUAGGGUUGUAAAGCUCUUUCACCGGAGAAGAUAAU